Molecule: non-coding RNA, 61 nt
Filed under: unclassified sequences
Description: msiK RNA
Rfam family: msiK RNA
Source: RNAcentral
ACCGUGAGACCUUCAUCCAACGGAUCGUCGGGCACGUACCUGCCCGGAGAAGGAGUAAACA